Molecule: transfer RNA, 84 nt
Filed under: Pyrus pyrifolia
Lineage: Eukaryota; Viridiplantae; Streptophyta; Magnoliopsida; Rosales; Rosaceae
Also listed under: 14 other names
Description: tRNA-Ser
Source: RNAcentral
GGAGCUGUAGCAAAAGGCUUAUUGCUUAUCACUGCUGAUGAUGAAGAAAAACUCUCAAUCCUGGUUCGAGGCUAUGCUGCUUCU